UACAGAGGGCUCAAGCGUUGUUCGGAUUCAUUGGGCGUAAAGGGUGCGUAGGCGGCGCGGUAAGUCGGGUGUGAAAUCUCGGAGCUUAACUCCGAAACUGCAUUCGAUACUGAAGAUCUUGAGUUCGGGAGAGGUGAGUGGAACUGCGAGUGUAGAGGUGAAAUUCGUAGAUAUUCGCAAGAACACCAGGGGCGAAGGCGGCUCACUGGCGCGAUACUGACGGUGAGGGGCGGAAGGGGGGGGAGCAAACAGG
This 253-nucleotide ribosomal RNA is filed under the name uncultured bacterium. RNAcentral's name for it is "partial 16S ribosomal RNA". It matches the Rfam family "Bacterial small subunit ribosomal RNA", at positions 524 to 776 of the family's 1533-position model. The record is from RNAcentral.